GGAGCCCGCGGUGCGCCGGAUCCCCGCGCGCUGCGAGUCCCCUGGGCAGGUCCCGGUGCGCGGCUGGCGGGACGCUGGAGGCUCGGGAAGCAGUGUGCCUGGACUCUGAAAGGAGGAUGAUAUUGUCUUUCCCUUCCUGGAAAUAGGGCUAAUUGCAAUGCUCUGUCCCGGUUUCCCGUGCCACCCGCCCUGCGAUCGUCCUGACAACUCUCUAGCUAACAAGCCUCAAGAAUGGAGGUGGGGAGAGGAGUGGAAAAACUGGAGAAGACAGAACGAUGAUGUACUUGACCCACCAGCAAGCAAAGCAUUCAGCAGCCCAGGCCUGAAGUCUCUGCAGGGUCCCUGAGCAAAGCAUUUGCUUUACCGGUUGGUUCUAAGAACUCCUCUGCUGACUCAGCUCCUGGAAUGUAAAUAUCACAGAAAUGAUGGGGGGGAAAAACAGCUAAUUUGAAACUGUGGCUAGAGAUCUAAAAGAAAAAAAUGCUUCCUACCGACACUUUCAUGUUCAGAACCUUUUGAUUAAAAAUCACCUUAUCAGA
Molecule: long non-coding RNA, 539 nt
Organism: Mesocricetus auratus (golden hamster)
Lineage: Eukaryota; Metazoa; Chordata; Mammalia; Rodentia; Cricetidae
Exons: 2
Source: RefSeq, a predicted model, not a curated record